Molecule: ribosomal RNA, 425 nt
Filed under: Fowleria isostigma
Lineage: Eukaryota; Metazoa; Chordata; Actinopteri; Kurtiformes; Apogonidae
Description: partial 12S rRNA
Rfam family: Bacterial small subunit ribosomal RNA
Source: RNAcentral
GGCACUUCACACCCACCUAGAGGAGCCUGUUCUAGAACCGAUGACCCCCGUUCAACCUCACCUUUUCUUGCUUUCCCCGCCUAUAUACCACCGUCGUCAGCUCACCCUGUGAAGGGCCCCUAGUGAGCAAGGCUGGCACAGCCUAAAACGUCAGGUCGAGGUGUAGCGCAUGAAGAGGGAAGAAAUGGGCUACAAUUGCUUCAACAGCUAAUACGAAUUGUAUCGCUGAAAAUGCACACAUGAAGGAGGAUUUAGAAGUAAGGAAGGAAGCAGAGCGUCCCCCUGAAAUGGUUCUGAAGCGUGCACACACCGCCCGUCACUCUCCCCAAGUUGAGUAUGCCCAAAAAUAAAUAAACACAAAACACCUACAAAGGGGAGGCAAGUCGUAACAUGGUAAGUGUACCGGAAGGUGCACUUGGAAAAAU